RNAcentral lists this ribosomal RNA (497 nucleotides) under uncultured bacterium. RNAcentral describes it as "partial 16S ribosomal RNA". It matches the Rfam family "Bacterial small subunit ribosomal RNA", at positions 28 to 507 of the family's 1533-position model. The record is from RNAcentral.
GAUGAACGCUGGCGGCGUGCCUAAUACAUGCAAGUCGAGCGAACGGACGAGAAGCUUGCUUCUCUGAUGUUAGCGGCGGACGGGUGAGUAACACGUGGAUAACCUACCUAUAAGACUGGGAUAACUUCGGGAAACCGUAGCUAAUACCGGAUAAUAUUUUGAACCGCAUGGUUCAAAAGUGAAAGACGGUCUUGCUGUCACUUAUAGAUGGAUCCGCGCUGCAUUAGCUAGUUGGUAAGGUAACGGCUUACCAAGGCAACGAUGCAUAGCCGACCUGAGAGGGUGAUCGGCCACACUGGAACUGAGACACGGUCCAGACUCCUACGGGAGGCAGCAGUAGGGAAUCUUCCGCAAUGGGCGAAAGCCUGACGGAGCAACGCCGCGUGAGUGAUGAAGGUCUUCUGAUCGUAAAACUCUGUUAUUAGGGAAGAACAUAUGUGUAAGUAACUGUGCACAUCUUGACGGUUCCUAAUCAGAAAGCCACGGCUAACUACGUG